This 355-nucleotide ribosomal RNA is filed under the name uncultured bacterium. RNAcentral describes it as "bacterial SSU rRNA". It matches the Rfam family "Bacterial small subunit ribosomal RNA", at positions 447 to 793 of the family's 1533-position model. The record is from RNAcentral.
GAACGUUAUUAGUAGGAAAUGGCUAAUAAGUGACGGUACCGUUACCAGAAAGGGACGGCUAACUACGUGCCAGCAGCCGCGGUAAUACGUAGGUCCCGAGCGUUAUCCGGAAUUAUUGGGCGUAAAGGGCACGUAGGCGGACAAAUAAGUUUGAUGUCAAAUAUGAUGGCUCAACCAUCAAGAGGCGUUGAAAACUGUUUAUCUAGAAUCUCGGAGAGGUAAGUGGAAUUCCAUGUGUAGCGGUGGAAUGCGUAGAUAUAUGGAGGAACACCAAUGGCGAAGGCAGCUUACUGGACGAAGAUUGACGCUGAGGUGCGAAAGCGUGGGUAGCAAACAGGAUUAGAUACCCUGGUAG